CCUACGGGAGGCAGCAGUGGGGAAUAUUGCACAAUGGGCGCAAGCCUGAUGCAGCCAUGCCGCGUGUGUGAAGAAGGCCUUCGGGUUGUAAAGCACUUUCAGCGGGGAGGAAGGCGGUGAGGUUAAUAACCUCAUCGAUUGACGUUACCCGCAGAAGAAGCACCGGCUAACUCCGUGCCAGCAGCCGCGGUAAUACGGAGGGUGCAAGCGUUAAUCGGAAUUACUGGGCGUAAAGCGCACGCAGGCGGUCUGUCAAGUCGGAUGUGAAAUCCCCGGGCUCAACCUGGGAACUGCAUUCGAAACUGGCAGGCUAAAGUCUUGUAGAGGGGGGUAGAAUUCCAGGUGUAGCGGUGAAAUGCGUAGAGAUCUGGAGGAAUACCGGUGGCGAAGGCGGCCCCCUGGACAAAGACUGACGCUCAGGUGCGAAAGCGUGGGGAGCAAACAGGAUUAGAUACCCUAGUAGUC
RNAcentral lists this ribosomal RNA (465 nucleotides) under uncultured Klebsiella sp. RNAcentral's name for it is "bacterial SSU rRNA". It matches the Rfam family "Bacterial small subunit ribosomal RNA", at positions 338 to 795 of the family's 1533-position model. The record is from RNAcentral. Lineage: Bacteria; Pseudomonadati; Pseudomonadota; Gammaproteobacteria; Enterobacterales; Enterobacteriaceae.